GAUACGCCGGUCGACACAUGCCGUCUUAUUUAGCGAAUAAAAUGGUUACUUCGAAGUGCUGACGAAAGCAGAAAGCAAGACGAUAGUCAAACAAAGGUUGAGCUAUGGGUCGCUACACCGAAAAGAACUGUCGCUUUUUAGUGAUGAUGACACUGGCGCCAACCUUCAUCGUAGUGGAGCUUGUUACUGGUAACACCACUAAGUCACUGGCCUUAGUAUCGGACUCCUUCCACAUGCUGUCUGACAUCAUUGCUUUGCUCAUCGGUUUCCUUGCCAUAAGACUCGGUUUCCUGCUCCACAACUAAACCUCCGGUCUCUACCUUCAGUUCAUCUGUGUGAUCGGUCAGAUCACUUGAUUGGU
Long non-coding RNA from Asterias rubens (European starfish), 361 nucleotides. RefSeq lists it as uncharacterized. The record is from RefSeq and is a predicted model, not a curated record. NCBI's taxonomy places the organism in Eukaryota, Metazoa, Echinodermata, Asteroidea, Forcipulatida, Asteriidae. The transcript is spliced from 3 exons.